Molecule: small nucleolar RNA, 88 nt
Organism: Vulpes vulpes (red fox)
Lineage: Eukaryota; Metazoa; Chordata; Mammalia; Carnivora; Canidae
Gene: SNORD116
Rfam family: Small nucleolar RNA SNORD116
About the family: HBII-85 is a member of the C/D class of snoRNAs, which contain the C (UGAUGA) and D (CUGA) box motifs. HBII-85 is encoded in a tandemly repeated array with another C/D snoRNA, HBII-52, in the Prader-Willi syndrome (PWS) region of chromosome 15. Unlike most other snoRNAs, HBII-85 is expressed prevalently in the brain (but is absent in PWS patients) and lacks any significant complementarity with ribosomal RNA.
Source: Ensembl
UGGUCGAUGAUGAUUCCCACAUACGCAUUCUUUGGAAGUCUGAACAAAAUGAGUGAGGAGGAGAAAAAAAGAAUCACAAUUCUGCCCU